This is a long non-coding RNA of Helicoverpa zea (corn earworm), 1167 nucleotides long. RefSeq lists it as uncharacterized. The record is from RefSeq and is a predicted model, not a curated record. The transcript has 2 exons. NCBI's taxonomy places the organism in Eukaryota, Metazoa, Arthropoda, Insecta, Lepidoptera, Noctuidae.
CACUUUCGAACUCGUGCACGACAAGCCCAAGCCCAGCAAGUCUAAGCAGGCUGAGGAUGACGACGAGUUGGCACAGUUGCAGUCCUGGGCUACAUAAUGCGAUGCACGCAACUCAUGUAUUUGUGAUAUCUAUAGGUAUUGUAUAGCUGCUCGCUUUGUUGAAGAAUUUGUGGGGAUAAUGGAUCUAAAGCCCUUUUUUACUGAUAAAAUAAACGUCCGUUUUUUCUCAUUAUAAGUGAAUAUAAUGAAUAUUGAACUCGAAAAAAACACUGUAUUUCGGAUGGUACGUUAAACUGUAGGUCUCGGCUGUCAUUGAACAUCCUUGGCAGUCGUUACAGAUAGUCAGAAGCCAGUAAGUCUGACACCAGUCUAACCAAGGGGUAUUGGGUUGCCCGGGUAACUGGGUUGAGGAGGUCAGAUAGGGCAGUCGCUCCUUGUAAAGCACUGGUACUCAGCUACAUCCGGUUAGACUGGAAGCCGACCCCAACAUAGUUGGGAAAAAGGCUCGGAUGAUUAACGCGAAAAAAAACAUGAUCACAAUCAAUAUGUAGGAAUUCAUAGUAAACUGUUGUUUAGAGAAAAAUAGAUGUUUAUGUUAUCGGUCAAAAUGGCUGUAACUCAAGAAAAAAAUCGAAGAAAAAUAACUAAAGUAAGAAAAUCUCAUUCAAUGCAGUCAUCACAAUAUUAUAAGAAGUUUGAAGGUUUUAUCUUAGGCAAGGAGAAAGAUACUGCUGAACGUAGGAACGAACGCCAACAUACAUAUAUACGUAUACACAGAUACAUCAUAUAUUAAUAAAAAUGAAUCAAAAGUGAUCUUAUUACAUUUGUCAUAAAGUGCUAUAUUGCAUAAACUUCCAGAUUAGAUUACGCACUGAUAAGGCGAAGAGUUUUCAUGAUUUCUAAAUAUAGGGGUUAGAUUUUAUAUAAUUGUGUGUAUAACAACUAAGAUAUUUUUACCGUAGAAUCUGGAUAGAAGGUGCUAACUAACCUAUUGUUUCGAUCUAGACAUAUAAAAAGGUACAGUAAUUGUUAGCAACAACCCGAAAAAAUAUACAAAUCCAUUAUCCCCACAAAACUCGUACAAAAUAUUGUAUAAAUAUGUAUUUAAAGCAUGUCGACUAGAACUCGCUUUCGUAUUUCAAUAGUAAAGUAAAAAUAAAAUAAAAA